This 420-nucleotide ribosomal RNA is filed under the name uncultured bacterium. RNAcentral describes it as "partial 16S ribosomal RNA". It matches the Rfam family "Bacterial small subunit ribosomal RNA", at positions 361 to 773 of the family's 1533-position model. The record is from RNAcentral.
AUAUCGGACAAUGGGGGCAACACUGAUCCAGCCAUGCCGCGUGUGUGAAGAAGGUCUUCGGAUUGUAAAGCACUUUAAGUUGGGAGGAAGGGCUUUAGGUUAAUACCCUGAAGUUUUGACGUUACAAACAGAAUAAGCACGGGAGAACUCUGUGCCAGCAGCCGCGGUAAUACAGAGGGUGCAAUCGUGAAUCGGAAUUACUGGGCGUAAAGCGCGCGUAGUUGGUUCAGUAAGAUGGGUGUGAAAUCCCCGGGCUUAACCUGGGAACUGCUUUCAUAACUGCUGAGCUAGAGUACUGUAGAGGGUAGUGGAAUUUCCUGUGUAGCGGUGAAAUGCGUAGAUAUAGGAAGGAACACCAGUGGCGAAGGCGACUACCUGGACUGAUACUGACACUGAGGUGCGAAAGCGUGGGGAGCAAAC